CCUACGGGCGGCAGCAGUGAGGAAUAUUGGUCAAUGGACGAGAGUCUGAACCAGCCAAGUAGCGUGAAGGAUGAAUGUCCUAUGCGUUGUAAACUUCUUUUAUCAAGGGAUAAAACCAGGCACGUGUGCCUGUUUGCGUGUACUUUAUGAAUAAGGAUCGGCUAACUCCGUGCCAGCAGCCGCGGUAAUACGGAGGAUCCGAGCGUUAUCCGGAUUUAUUGGGUUUAAAGGGUGCGUAGAUGGGUUGUUAAGUCAGUUGUGAAAGUUUGCGGCUCAACCGGAAAAUUGCAAUUGAUACUGGCAGUCUUGAGUACAGGUGAGGUAGGCGGAAUUCGUGGUGUAGCGGUGAAAUGCUUAGAUAUCACGAAGAACCCCGAUUGCGAAGGCAGCUUACUAAACUGUGACUGACAUUGAUGCUCGAAAGUGUGGGUAUCAAACAGGAUUAGAUACCCGGGUAGUC
RNAcentral lists this ribosomal RNA (460 nucleotides) under uncultured bacterium. Its description in RNAcentral is "partial 16S ribosomal RNA". It matches the Rfam family "Bacterial small subunit ribosomal RNA", at positions 338 to 795 of the family's 1533-position model. The record is from RNAcentral.